GCGGGAGUAGCUCAUUUGGUAGAGCGNNAGGUGGCGGGUUCGAGCCCCGUCUCCCGCUCAA
This 61-nucleotide transfer RNA is filed under the name Runella sp. RNAcentral's name for it is "tRNA-Ser". It matches the Rfam family "tRNA". From Rfam's summary of the family: Transfer RNA (tRNA) molecules are approximately 80 nucleotides in length. Lineage: Bacteria; Pseudomonadati; Bacteroidota; Cytophagia; Cytophagales; Spirosomataceae. The record is from RNAcentral.